GCCUCUGUAGCUCAGCGGGUAGCAGCAGCCGCCUUUUAAGCGGCGGGUCCCAGGUUCGAGCCCUGGCGGGGGCG
RNAcentral lists this transfer RNA (74 nucleotides) under Nocardia huaxiensis. It matches the Rfam family "tRNA". Rfam says of the family: Transfer RNA (tRNA) molecules are approximately 80 nucleotides in length. Their secondary structure includes four short double-helical elements and three loops (D, anti-codon, and T loops). Further hydrogen bonds mediate the characteristic L-shaped molecular structure. tRNAs have two regions of fundamental functional importance: the anti-codon, which is responsible for specific mRNA codon recognition, and the 3' end, to which the tRNAs corresponding amino acid is attached (by aminoacyl-tRNA synthetases). tRNAs cope with the degeneracy of the genetic code in two manners: having more than one tRNA (with a specific anti-codon) for a particular amino acid; and 'wobble' base-pairing, i.e. permitting non-standard base-pairing at the 3rd anti-codon position. The record is from Rfam by way of RNAcentral. Lineage: Bacteria; Bacillati; Actinomycetota; Actinomycetes; Mycobacteriales; Nocardiaceae.